RNAcentral lists this ribosomal RNA (1343 nucleotides) under uncultured bacterium. RNAcentral's name for it is "16S ribosomal RNA". It matches the Rfam family "Bacterial small subunit ribosomal RNA", at positions 28 to 1378 of the family's 1533-position model. The record is from RNAcentral.
GACGAACGCUGGCGGCGUGCUUAACACAUGCAAGUCGAACGGAAAGGCCCUGCUUUUGUGGGGCGCUCGAGUGGCGAACGGGUGAGUAACACGUGAGUAACCUGCCCUUGACUUUGGGAUAACUUCAGGAAACUGGGGCUAAUACCGGAUAGGAGCUCCUGCUGCAUGGUGGGGGUUGGAAAGUUUCGGCGGUUGGGGAUGGACUCGCGGCUUAUCAGCUUGUUGGUGGGGUAGUGGCUUACCAAGGCUUUGACGGGUAGCCGGCCUGAGAGGGUGACCGGCCACAUUGGGACUGAGAUACGGCCCAGACUCCUACGGGAGGCAGCAGUGGGGAAUAUUGCACAAUGGGCGGAAGCCUGAUGCAGCAACGCCGCGUGCGGGAUGACGGCCUUCGGGUUGUAAACCGCUUUCGCCUGUGACGAAGCGUGAGUGACGGUAAUGGGUAAAGAAGCACCGGCUAACUACGUGCCAGCAGCCGCGGUGAUACGUAGGGUGCGGGCGUUGUCCGGAUUUAUUGGGCGUAAAGGGCUCGUAGGUGGUUGAUCGCGUCGGAAGUGUAAUCUUGGGGCUUAACCCUGAGCGUGCUUUCGAUACGGGUUGACUUGAGGAAGGUAGGGGAGAAUGGAAUUCCUGGUGGAGCGGUGGAAUGCGCAGAUAUCAGGAGGAACACCAGUGGCGAAGGCGGUUCUCUGGGCCUUUCCUGACGCUGAGGAGCGAAAGCGUGGGGAGCGAACAGGCUUAGAUACCCUGGUAGUCCACGCUGUAAACGGUGGGUACUAGGUGUGGGGUCCAUUCCACGGGUUCCGUGCCGUAGCUAACGCUUUAAGUACCCCGCCUGGGGAGUACGGCCGCAAGGCUAAAACUCAAAGGAAUUGACGGGGCCCCGCACGAGCGGCGGAGCAUGCGGAUUAAUUCGAUGCAACGCGUAGAACCUUACCUGGGUUUGACAUGGAUCGGGAGCGCUCAGAGAUGGGUGUGCCUCUUUUGGGGUCGGUUCACAGGUGGUGCAUGGCUGUCGUCAGCUCGUGUCGUGAGAUGUUGGGUUAAGUCCCGCAACGAGCGCAACCCUUGUUCACUGUUGCCAGCACGUUAUGGUGGGGACUCAGUGGAGACCGCCGGGGUCAACUCGGAGGAAGGUGGGGAUGACGUCAAGUCAUCAUGCCCCUUAUGUCCAGGGCUUCACGCAUGCUACAAUGGCUGGUACAGAGAGUGGCGAGCCUGUGAGGGUGAGCGAAUCUCGGAAAGCCGGUCUCAGUUCGGAUUGGGGUCUGCAACUCGACCUCAUGAAGUCGGAGUCGCUAGUAAUCGCAGAUCAGCAACGCUGCGGUGAAUACGUUCCCGGG